Molecule: ribosomal RNA, 293 nt
Filed under: uncultured bacterium
Lineage: Bacteria
Description: partial 16S ribosomal RNA
Rfam family: Bacterial small subunit ribosomal RNA
Source: RNAcentral
GGAUUAGAUACCCUGGUAGUCCAUGCCGUAAACGUUGUAUACUAGGUGUGGGAGGAUUUAUCCCCUUCCGUGCCCAAGCUAACGCGAUAAGUAUACCGCCUGGGGACUACGGCCGCAAGGCUAAAACUCAAAGGAAUUGACGGGGACCCGCACAAGCGGUGGAGCAUGUGGCUUAAUUCGAGGCAACGCGAAGAACCUUACCUGGGUUUGACAUAUAUCGGACCGCCCUAGAGAUAGGGCUUUUCUUCGGAACUGAUAUACAGGUGCUGCAUGGCUGUCGUCAGCUCGUGCCG